CUCUGGAAGCAGCCAGCGCGCGCUAGGGGCCCUGGAUGAGGACCGCGUCUGUGACACACCGCCCACCCCUCAUCCCCGAGGCGGGCACCCGGGAACCUGGGCGGCUCCAUCCUUUCGUCUCGCCCUCCCCGCGCCGUGUACCUAGAAACAACCAGCAGAGGGGAAGAGGAGCCCGCGGGAAGAACCGCAGGCGAGACGGAGAAUGAGGGCCAUUCAGGGUGUGACAGCCGCCUCGGCGAGGCUUAGAGGGACUCACCAGGCAGAUACGCAGGUCAGCUGGUCGAGCAAAAGUAGGCCUGCAAGACGUCGUGAUGUGAUGGCAGGGGACGACACAAUGCCUGCGUGAGGAGAUGCAGUGAGAUCACCCUGAAUUGAAUUCAGAGGACACAUGGAUUGAUGUAAGAGUGAG
RNAcentral lists this long non-coding RNA (409 nucleotides) under Equus asinus (donkey). Its description in RNAcentral is "lncRNA (ENSEASG00005033183.1)". Lineage: Eukaryota; Metazoa; Chordata; Mammalia; Perissodactyla; Equidae. The record is from RNAcentral.